Molecule: ribosomal RNA, 468 nt
Filed under: uncultured bacterium
Lineage: Bacteria
Description: partial 16S ribosomal RNA
Rfam family: Bacterial small subunit ribosomal RNA
Source: RNAcentral
AACGAACGCUGGCGGCAUGCUUAACACAUGCAAGUCGAACGGAAAGGCCCUGCUUUUGUGGGGUGCUCUAGUGGCGAACGGGUGAGUAACCCGUGAGUAACCUGUCCUUGACUGUGGGAUAACUUCAGGCAACUGGGGCUAAUACCGGAUAGGAGCUCCUGCUGCAUGGUGGGGGUUGGAAAGUUUCGGCGGUUGGGGAUGGAAUCGCGGCUUAUCGGCUUGUUGGUGGGGUAGUGGCUUAGCAUAGCUUUGACGGGUAGCCGGCCUGAGCGGGUAAGCGGCUCAGUCAGGCUGGGGAUAAGACCCAGACUCCUACGGGACGGAGAGGUGGGGAAUGGUACACUAGGGGCUGAAGGCUGAUGUAGCAAAGCCGUGUCGGGGAAGUCGUGAAGCGGGUUGGGAACCGCUGUUGCCUGUGACGAAGCGUGAGUGACGGUAAUGGGUAAAGAAGCACCGGCUAACUACGUG